This 451-nucleotide ribosomal RNA is filed under the name uncultured bacterium. RNAcentral's name for it is "bacterial SSU rRNA". It matches the Rfam family "Bacterial small subunit ribosomal RNA", at positions 354 to 796 of the family's 1533-position model. The record is from RNAcentral.
GUGGGGAAUUUUGCGCAAUGGGGGAAACCCUGACGCAGCAACGCCGCGUGAGUGAUGAAGGCCUUCGGGUUGUAAAGCUCUUUUAGUGGGGAAGAAGCCCUCCAGGGCUAAUAUCCCUGGGGUCUGACGGUACCCACAGAAAAAGUUCCGGCUAACUACGUGCCAGCAGCCGCGGUAAUACGUAGGGAGCAAGCGUUGUUCGGAAUUAUUGGGCGUAAAGAGCGCGUAGGCGGUCUAGUAAGUCCGAUGUGAAAUCCCAGAGCUUAACUCUGGAACUGCAUUGGAAACUGCUAGGCUUGAGUGCGGGAGAGGUGAGUGGAAUUCCCAGUGUAGAGGUGAAAUUCGUAGAUAUUGGGAGGAACACCGGUGGCGAAGGCGGCUCACUGGACCGCAACUGACGCUGAGGCGCGAAAGCUCGGGGAGCAAACGGGAUUAGAUACCCCAGUAGUCC